Molecule: transfer RNA, 73 nt
Filed under: Osteolaemus osborni
Lineage: Eukaryota; Metazoa; Chordata; Crocodylia; Crocodylidae
Description: Osteolaemus tetraspis osborni tRNA-Asn
Rfam family: tRNA
About the family: Transfer RNA (tRNA) molecules are approximately 80 nucleotides in length. Their secondary structure includes four short double-helical elements and three loops (D, anti-codon, and T loops). Further hydrogen bonds mediate the characteristic L-shaped molecular structure. tRNAs have two regions of fundamental functional importance: the anti-codon, which is responsible for specific mRNA codon recognition, and the 3' end, to which the tRNAs corresponding amino acid is attached (by aminoacyl-tRNA synthetases). tRNAs cope with the degeneracy of the genetic code in two manners: having more than one tRNA (with a specific anti-codon) for a particular amino acid; and 'wobble' base-pairing, i.e. permitting non-standard base-pairing at the 3rd anti-codon position.
Source: RNAcentral
UAGGUAAAAACUCGUUGGUUAGAGUGAUUAGCUGUUAACUAAUAAGUUAUGGGAUCGAGGCCCAUUUACCUAG